This 362-nucleotide long non-coding RNA is filed under the name Rattus norvegicus (Norway rat). Its description in RNAcentral is "long non-coding RNA NONRATT000247". The record is from RNAcentral. Lineage: Eukaryota; Metazoa; Chordata; Mammalia; Rodentia; Muridae.
CCUUGAACUUUUUUUUUUUUCCCUUUCUUUUUUUUUUCGGAGCUGGGAACUGAACCCAGGGCCUUGUGCUUGCUAGGAACUGGUGAAGCAGAAGGUGAAGCGUCAGCUGACGAGGCAGCAGAAGGCAGCUGCCAGACGCCGGCUGCAGAAAGGAGAAGCCAAUAUAUUUACCAAGCAGCGGAGGGAAAACAUGCAGAAUAUCAAAUCAAGUUUGGAAGCAGACAGCUUUUGGGGAGACUAAUAAAUUUUUGAUCUGUAUAUUUUUUUAGAUACUGUAAUUCUAUUUUUAGCCAGUAUAUUGGUCUUUUUAAGACCAAAGCCAAUAUUUAUGGAAAUUAUGGAAAUAAACCCUUAUUAGACUC